Long non-coding RNA from Lates calcarifer (barramundi perch), 8137 nucleotides. RefSeq lists it as uncharacterized. The transcript has 4 exons. The record is from RefSeq and is a predicted model, not a curated record. Lineage: Eukaryota; Metazoa; Chordata; Actinopteri; Centropomidae.
UCCCAAAAGAUGAUGAUUAAUAAGUCACCAGUCAGUACCGCAGAAACGUAAGUAUCACAAAAAUUAAAACGAUUAGGGCAAAAAUGCAACCUGUUGCUUGGCAGAAAUGACAUGGUGGUGAUGAUUGACGCCACUGACGUUAGAAAACGUCUUCUAAGCAACGCUACGUCUUCCGGGCAGUCUGGACACAAUCAGAAAGUGACGAGACGAUGCUAGCUGGUUAGCAUGCUAACUUCAGUAGAGGAAAAGAAGUGGCUGGACUACAAGCAAAACAAGCGUUAGCAUUGGCGUUGCUUUCUACUGCUGGAAACAGCUUUCGGCGAAUAAAAGAAUGAAGUUUGAAGCUGAACUCGGAACCUUUCUUCUAGACUGUGUACCCUGAAUGCAGCAUAAGGCCAAAGUUGCCCAGGUGCAGGCUAUUUCCUGAUGUCCUUACCUAUUCUGCCUGUUGGUUCUUCAGAAUCAGAAAGUCCAGCCAGCCACACAAGCAGCAAGCAGGCCCUCUCCUGAUGGACUGAUUUUGAUGGGGCACAAAAUCUCUCCAUGCUCCUUUCCAACAAAACCCUGAGUCUGGUUCCACUCAGCUCUAAAGUCUAAGAUCUCUCUCCAUGCUGGGGCCCCUCCUGGCCUGAGGCAGCAGAGGUAGGUCAGUCGGGCCCCUGGUUCCAUGCACCCUGGAUCCUGGAGAUUCUGGGUCAUGAAUGAUGAAAUGGAUGAAUGAGCCAAUUAAUCACAUAUCUCCAAUUUUCUAACCCAGAAGAACUUACAAGACACCAAAUAUUCUGAAUAACUCUCUUCUAUCACCCUUUCUCACGUCUGAAAGACGCCAUCCAGUGACUGGACUGGGCUCCCAUAUUUACAAUCCAGCUGUGGACAGUUCUGGGUAAAUCAGUCCAAUAUGAAAUAAAAUGCUGAAUAAGUUGAUUAGACAUGCAAGGUUUCAGUUAUGGAUUAUAGUAGUAGUAUAGUAUUUCAUCAUUUAAAUGUAUUUGAUUUAAGUAUACCUGACCUUUGUAUUAAACGUGAAACACGGAGGGUUACAUUGAAUCACUUUACUACUAAUUUGUCCAAGAUUUCUGCACAAAUGUUUUCGAUAAAGACAAAACAACAAAGGCAGAAGGUGACAAAAGAAUGGAAUAACAGAAAACAUACGAUCUAAAAACAACAUCAAAAGCUUUCAUGUGAGACUUAGAGGCACCAUUUAUGACCUGACUUGAUUAAAAUAGAGCUAGAAUGUGUUCAUUCUUGACAAGAAACAAAUCAGUUGAGACACACUCUGUCUCGUCUGUGCCAGAUCUUAUUCAGACACAAAUUGAACUCUGGCUAUGUUGAGAGUUACACAGUAUUCUGGAUGUGUUUACUAAGAUGGUGUGUUCUCAGUUUCAGCUGAUGUUAUCAUUAGUUGAAUUUAUUAAUUAAUCUGGUGUUUGGCAGCAUAACACGCUGAAAAUUUUUAAAUGUUUGGGGAGAGACACUUACUUAGAAAUUCCCAAAUGCAAUCCUACAUAGAGACUGUAAUCGCAUUUAAAUAUCAUCUCAAAAAACACAACAUUUCUUAACUAAUACUUUUCUUUUUUUUUAAAAUUCUGUGUUAUGUACAUGUGAUAACUGUGAAACACAUAAACACUUCAGGCUUUGAGUACCUUACACUGAAUAAAUAGUGAGCUAUCUAAUGCUGUUUUUACACUAUAUUAGCUUUUAUUGCUUAAAAUUGUAUGAAUCUGCUCAUACUGUACAAUAAAACUCUGUGAUUAUGAUACAGACCACCCAGUCAGACUACAUGCGGCAUGUGGACUAUGACAGUGAUGAUGAUGUUUAAAAGAAAGACUAAUUGUAUAGAGGGCAGCCCAAACUCUGCAGGAGAUUUUACAGUAUAAUGACAUCUUGUCAUGGUGGAGGAAUGCACUUGUGCCAUCAAAGGGAAAGUCCACCCUAAAAGUAAAUGCAGCCUCAUGUUGUUCCUCUGACUUUGGGGACAUUUUAAUCAGAGAGCAUGAUACAAACGUACCUGAGAGUAUGAGUCAAGACCAGCAAGACUUGAGACUCUGGUGAUGAUGAAACUCCAACAUUAGCUUCUUUUUCAUUCUAAAGAAAAAUAUCACAUGGGAAUUCUUGUUUAGGGUGGAAUUCUGCAGUAAUUCUGCGGCAACAAAAGUCAUCCAUUUUAGCAAAUUAAUGGAAGAAAUGGUUUGAGGGAGAUUUUGCUUUGUAUAGCUGGCAGUGAGACAUUCAUACAGCUCUGUGCUCUGAGAAAUGCUCCGGCUUUUAUCUUCCCUCUUUCAUUGUGACCAAUGCAAUACUGCAGUCUCAACAAAACUGCCUUUGUGGAAAAGUCCUGAUUUGGAUUAAAAUCAGGGAGUAAGUUGUUCUCCACUGUGCAGAAUCACUGUUAUGAUCAGAUGUGUGAUUAUGAUUGCUCUCGUUUCCUGGUGAUAAAGGUAAAUGUAAAAAGAUGUCUUUGCAGUAUAAAAAGAGACUGGAAAAGGACUGUUCUCUGUAUUCUAAAGGGAAUACAAUUUAACAUUUUGAGAAAUAUGCUUAUUUUCUCGCUCACUGAGAAUUAGAUGAGAAGAUUGAUAUUGCUCUCAUGUCCAUACACUACAUAUUAAGCUACCACCAGCAGUGAGUUAUUUUAGCUUAGCAUAAAGACUGUCCCAAAUCUACCUACUAGCACCUAGCUAGUGCUAUUAAGUUUAUUAACUAACAUUUUAUAUCUUGUUUGUUUAAUCCAUAGAAAAACCAUAGAGUACAAAUGACAUGUUAGUUGUUUGAGCUUAGUGUGUUGUCACCCUCAGAGCCAAGCUAGCCAUUUCCUGUUGUCUCCAGUUUUAGCACUAAGCUAAGCUAACCGCCUGCUAUUAAAAAUGACAAACAGUGGUUUUCUUGGGGUUCAUGUGCUGACAGAUUUUUUUCACCUUUGGACAAAGCCAGGCUCACUAUGAGUCUACUUCCAGUCUUUAUGCUCAGCUAAGCUAAUUGGCAAGAGGCUAGCUUCAUCGUUGCCACAGACAUUUGAAUAUGGUAUUUGGGACUUUCAACACUGUGUAGAUCCUAGACAUUUAUUUGGGUCUCAGUCUUAUUCUGAAAGCAGCUUGGUGUGUACAGUAAAACAGGUUGAUGUAUCUGAAGCUUGCAUUUCAUGCCCAUGUGAUUAAUGUAAUAGAUGGAACACUCCGUAUUUUUGAAAAUACAUGUUUGUUUUCUUGGCUACAUGAAAAGAUUGAUACCACCUCAUGUCUACUGUCUGCGGUUGGGUAGUUUAUCUGUGAAAAAACUAAUUCAAUUUGUUUUCUAAUUUUAUAAACUGCAUGCUUUAAAUAGUAGUCUGUUUUACUGUACAUUGCCACACUACUUUCCAACUGAAUCCGGAUGCAUUUAAAGGCAUCAUGAAGCUGAAAAAUCGCAGAUCUGUGGAUAGAGUUUGGUGUGAGCAGUAGCCUAUGUGGACGUUCUAAUUAAUAUUUCAUCUUUACCUGUGUGAGACAUAAAAUUGGAAACAUGACACAACAGCAGUGCUCCUCUCUCUCUCUUUUCUUUACCUCCUCCCAGCUUCCUCUUUCUGUCUUUCUCCUCUUCCUCUCCUCCCCCCUCUCUUCCUUUCAUCUCCUCGCCUCUUCCUCUGCUCCCGCCGUCCCUCUCUUUUCAUCUCCUCCUCUCUCCCCUCCCUCUCUUUUGAUAUCUCUUUUUUUAAGGUCUGUGUCUGUACUUGCAUGCAGCACACACUCAUACACACAAAUUCACUCAUAUUCACACACACGUAAACACAUGAAACAACAUUUCUCAUUAUCGGUCCCGUCCAGCAGGCAGCUUUGUAAUCACGUCUGUUUGUUUAUGUUUGUUAUGCUGCAAACACACACAUAUACCUAUCUCUUCUAGUUUUCCACACACAUCGUUCAUACACAAGCACACCGAGUCAUAUUUUUUUUCUCUCUCUCUCUCUCACACACACACACACAGAUGUCAAACACAGCACUGCAACAAAGCCACAGCCCCAGUGUUGAAUAGAGCCAGAAAUAGCAGUGGGUUUGACUUGGAAUCGGCUUAAGUCUUCAAAGAGAAAAUUUUUGAUGUAGCAAAGGGAGUGAGAGAGUGAGCGGGAGAUGGAGGGAGAGAGAGAGAGAGAGAGAGGGAAAGAGGGAGAGAGAGGGGUGAAAGAGGGAGAUAGGGGAGUAUACUCAGGGGGGAGAACAGAGCAGAUCUGGUUUGUUAUAUCCAGCUGUAAAAAAAGGGGGGGCAAAAAAACUUCAAAGAUCCACGUUGCCAUGGUAACUGUAUGGUGCCUGCUUUAUAGCCCCACCCCACCCCGCCUCCCCUCACCCUAGCCCAGACACACACAUACAUGUAGCAAAUGUAUUCAUAAAAAUUGAUGGCAGCACUAGUGUAGUGGGUGCACACUCACUCACUAAUACUUUUUUUCCUUCCAUCUCUAUCCCUUUUUUUUAAUGGAUACUGUUGCCGUCCAUAUCCAGCAGAGAUCAUAUUGAUGUGUGUAGCACUGCAGCUAAUUAAAACCCAAUAGGGUUAGCAGCCAUUGCUUUAGUUUUUUCUGUUUGAAAUUAUUGGGUUAGCCUUAUCUGGCAGCACUGGAGUUGCUUCUUCAUGUUUUUCUGUAUUGAUGUUUGGGGCUUGUUCCUUGUAAUUAUGACAUGCUAUCACUUCAUAGCCAUUGGAUCUAAAUUCCAUUUGUAAUCAGAUCCAUCUUACAAUCUGUCUUCUCCUUUUCAGUGAUGGUGCAGACCCAUGUGCUGCUGCUCUUUUAUUGACUUUUAAAUUGAUUUCUAAACACCAGAUAAUUUGUAACAGAUCAGUUCUUUUGUGUUUAUUUACUUGCUAAAGUACAGUAAUCUUUUUUUGGUGUAGAAGACAGUAGAGGACAAGAAUGAUGCAAGCGAACCUUAUACUGAACCUUAACCUUAACCCGUAUCAUAUGGUAAUUGUACAUUAUGUUAAGAAACGAGGGCUUUGAGUGAGCUGAGAUCCACACUAAAACACAUUCAGUAUCAUAGAUUUUAUUUUAUAUUGAUAUAAAUAGUUCAUUGUCUAUAAUACUAGCAGCCACUAGAGAUGCAAGUGUUAAGUUGUUGAUUCUGUAAUUUGGACAAAUGUGAAUAAAACUACUGAGAAAGUAAAGAAGCAAACUAGUGUGUUUAUGACCAAGCCCCAGGUUUUUAUGUUACACAACUGUUCAAAGGUUUGUCAUAACAAUUUUUAUUAUCAUUCUUUGACAGACUAUUGUUAAUAAUGUCGUAAAAGUUUCAAGGUCAUGCAGGUCAUUAAAUAUUAUGGCCAGCUGUGUCUCCAUGUUUGUCUGUGACCCCUAAACAAUGUGGGCCUCUCUGCCUUUUUGAUCCAUUUCUCAGCUCUUUUUUUUCCUGCCUGGCUCUGUCCUUCUUUCAUGGCCAUGUGAAGCACAGGGGUCUGUCAUGCAUUAAGAAGAACUGGGUCUAGCUAGUUUGUCCCCGGAGCGUUUCCUGCCUGCAGAUGGAUGGCUGCCCAGAGACUCUGAAGCUGAAGCUCUGAAGCUGCCAGUGAGUUCACGUCAGCUGGGAACUGGGAGGUUGUUUACGUCUAAAAUGAUUUCUGUUUUUACCACGGGGUGAUCAUGAAGGCGCCAUGGUCAUCAAGAGAGAAAAUCAGGUUAGUCAGUCAGGAUCACUCCUCUGUACUUGUAUGUUAUCAGAUAUAAUUGGUGUUUAGAGCACUUGAGAUGGCAAUUUUCUACAUAUCAUGUUGGAUGUUUUGUCAAUGGCUCUUUUGUACUAAUGUGUUUAUUAUGUUAGCAGCUAUCUACUGGAACCAUGUGUGAUUAUGGGUGGAUAAGAACAACAAACUGCAACUUUUUGCAUGAAAUUGAGCUGUUUUUCAUUCUACUUCCUUCAUCUCUCUGAUGGCCUCUCUGAUUAGACAUACAGAGAGAGUGAAUGAGGAUUUUCCUUGCCAUGAUGAUGUUGGUAAGAGGAGUAUUAGGAGCAGCUGUACCCAGAACAUUUCCUCUGAGUGGUUUGAGGCUGACCCAGGACCAGCUGGGGAAAAAAGAGAUGGCAAGAGCUGUGGUGAGAACACUCAUGCAAUGUAUCAUAACCAGUGUCAUGCAACCUCAUAAUUCCGGUUAGUCAAUGUACCCAUAAUCAAUGAAAGCAGGUUGAUUUCCAUGUUAAUGACUAUAUUUUAUUCAUUAUGUUAUUUUUACUUUUGGCACUUUUAGUGUGACCUGUGUUAUUGAUCUGUUUGAACAUAAAAAGUGACCAGAUUCUGCUCAUCAAAGGGAUAUUUGUGGAGCUGUAAUCAGCCGUUGCACGCAGUACAUGCAACAAGAAACAGAAUUACAUCUGCAAGAUCCACGGAGCAGUAAACAACAGUGAGUGCAGAGUAAAACUAAAAUGUCAUGCCAGCUGGGGUGGGCAGAAAAGUUAAUCCCUGGUUUACCACAACAAUAUUCUACUGUGUCUGUGAUGAUUUAAUUCUGUUUAGUUAGCUAAACUUUUCACUAGAGGACAUCCAGUUGUUUUGUUAGUUUCUUGAAAGGGACAAUGCUUUUCAUUUAAUUAACAGAAAAAAUAAAUUAAAUUAGAGUUAGUCUUAUUUUGAUGUUUCCAAAAGGAAGUCUAAAAAUCAGAUAGAUCUGCAGUCAUGCUAGCAGCUCUGUGGGGCGGUGCUUGGACGCAGGGGUGGUUUGAUCUAAAUGCUCGUGUCAGCAGUUUAGUUUCCUCACAGUGACAAUGCUACCAUGCAGAUGCUUGCCAGGUGUAGUGUCUACCAUUUUAACCAUCUUAGCUUAGUCUGUUAGCAUUUUCUUAUUGGGAAUAAACAUCAGCAACAAGUGCUGUGAGACUACGUGGUCAUAAACCAAAUAAUUUGAAGAUUAAAAUUUUGAGCUGGAUUAAAGGUUAAGGAAUCACCAAAGUUUUCUUAGGGGGACAUGACUGUGUGUGCCAAAUUUCCAAACUGUUGAGACUUUUCAGUCCAAAAAAAAGUCAGUCUCAGUGGUGCUAGAGGAAAAGUUGGGGCCAAAUUGCUGGUCUUGGCCGACCGAACAAACAACUGACAGCACAUCUAAGAGUUUAUUAAAGUGACAUCUCCAAUAGAUACUCUGUGUCUCCUUUCUUUCCUUGUUCAUUUUCAUACCUUCUAUGUUAAGUAAGGGCCUUGUUUACCAGGAUGAGCGUUGCUGUAAAAGUCUAACAAGCCUCCACGUGUCAGUAUGAGCCCCUAUGUUUACUGAUUAUUGCAGAGGGAAGUUGUCAUACUCAGUCAGUUGAAUUUGCCUUUGGCUUCAUUUACACAGCAGGAGAAAAUCCACUCGUAGCACUAUCUACUUUGUGUACACAAAGAUAUAUACCCCAGCACAACUGUUUUUUUAUAUUAAGAGGUGUGUAACCUCACAUAAUCUGUCUUCAAACCUAGUCUGGGCUCACCACUUCCACAGGUAACAACCAUUACUAGAUCCUGAGCCAAAUAAUUUGUGUUUACAUGUCAAAAGAAAUCUCACUCACAGUCUUUGAAGCCAGAUGUGAAAUGCCAGAGUCUUGCUGUCAUGCUUUGAAGAGGACCUUCCUGCAUCUCAGCCCAGAUCUCACUUAAUAUAUUCACAAAUCCUGAAUCCUAGACUAAUCAGCCUCACUUUCUCCUCUUCUCCACUUUAUCUUCUCAAACCAGGUGGCUCUGUGGGUCUGUGUUGUAAUUAAAAUAAUGCAAAUGGGGUAAUCCUGUAAAACAAAUCCUUCUGUUUCUGUUAAUGAAGACCCCCUAACCGCUUUCUUGUGUAAUGACAUAUUUGUCUCUGAAUAAACCAGCAAUGCUCUUUCCACAGAGAUAUGCCAGUCAGGAUUAGUUAUUUUACAGGCAGCCACAGCUCUUUGGCUGAGCCGCAGUCUGAAAAUGAUCUGAGAGAUAAAGUUAAAAAACAAGGAGAGCAGCUCAAACUUGUGGUUGCCAUUUAUAGCAUAAACUUACACUCUGACAUCUCAUGAAUAGUGUCAUGUUUUACUGCUUUAUGUUGGUGACACUGAUUUCAUCAUACCUGUUGUUUUUAGAAAUCAAGCAUGAGCUAUUUAGUGUUCUUGAUAAGAUAAAGACAUGAAAUUAACACCACAGUAAUUGUAGUCAAAUGAAACAUGACAUUUCCGUCGGUCCAAUA